RNAcentral lists this ribosomal RNA (268 nucleotides) under uncultured Desulfobulbus sp. RNAcentral's name for it is "partial 16S ribosomal RNA". It matches the Rfam family "Bacterial small subunit ribosomal RNA", at positions 1117 to 1382 of the family's 1533-position model. Lineage: Bacteria; Pseudomonadati; Thermodesulfobacteriota; Desulfobulbia; Desulfobulbales; Desulfobulbaceae. The record is from RNAcentral.
GCCAGCAGUUCGGCUGGCGACUCUAAAGGGAACUGACCGGUGUUAAACCGGAGGAAGGUGGGGAUGACGUCAAGUCCUCAUGGCCUUUAUGACCAGGGCUACACACGUACUACAAUGGCCGAUACAAAGGGCAGCGACACUGCGAGGUGAAGCCAAUCCCGUAAAAAUCGGUCUCAGUCCGGAUUGGAGUCUGCAACUCGACUCCAUGAAGUUGGAAUCGCUAGUAAUCGUGGAUCAGCAUGCCACGGUGAAUACGUUCCCGGGCCUU